AUGGCCGCAGUAUUUUGACUGUGCAAAGGUAGCAUAAUUAUUAGUUUUUUAAUUGAAAGCUUGUAUGAAGGGUUGGACGAGAUAAAAUCUGUCUUUAUUUAAAUUAAAGUAGAACUUAACUUUUAAGUCAAAAGGCUUAAAUGUUUAUAAAAGACGAGAAGACCCUAUAGAUCUUUAUUAAAUUCAGAUUUUGAUAAUUUAGGAUUAUUUUAAUUUAAAGUUUUAAUUUAAUUUUAUUGGGGUAAUAUAAAGAUUAAAUAAAUUCUUUUUAUUUAUAACAUUAAUUUAUGAAUAUAUGAUCCAUUAGUACUGAUUAUAAGAUUAAGUUACCUUAGGGAUAACAGCGUAAUUUUUUUGGAGAGCUCAUAUCGAUAAAAAAGUUUGCGACCUCGAUGUUGGAUUAAAAGUUAGCUUGGGUGCAGAAGCUCAAGAUUUUGGUCUGUUCGACCAUUAAACUUUUACAUGAUCUGAGUUCAGACCGGCGUAAGCCAGGUCGGUUUCUAUCUUUAUUUAAAUAAAAUAUUUUAGUACGAAAGGACCAAAUAUUUAAUAUAAUUAUAUUUAUUUUUUGAAUAAUAUU
This 580-nucleotide ribosomal RNA is filed under the name Zecicindela austromontana. Its description in RNAcentral is "partial 16S ribosomal RNA". It matches the Rfam family "Bacterial large subunit ribosomal RNA", at positions 1927 to 2739 of the family's 2925-position model. Lineage: Eukaryota; Metazoa; Arthropoda; Insecta; Coleoptera; Carabidae. The record is from RNAcentral.